CUUCAGCGAACCAAGCCACAAAGGACGCCCCGCGUCCCGCUGCCCAUACGUCGCCAACAACGCCUGCGCCUC
Streptomyces sp. Mg1 is the source of this 72-nucleotide non-coding RNA. It matches the Rfam family "ASpks TB sRNA". Lineage: Bacteria; Bacillati; Actinomycetota; Actinomycetes; Kitasatosporales; Streptomycetaceae. The record is from Rfam.